UAUAAUACGAGCUUGUUGUUUCACACUCGAACAAAACUUUCAACAACGGAUCUCUUGGUUCUGGCAUCGAUGAAGAACGCAGCGAAAUGCGAUAAGUAAUGUGAAUUGCAGAAUUCAGUGAAUCAUCGAAUCUUUGAACGCACAUUGCGCCCUUUGGUAUUCCGAAGGGCAUGCCUGUUCGAGCGUCAUUUCACCACUCAAGCCUGGCUUGGUAUUGGGCGUCGCGGUUCUUCGCGCGCCUUAAAGUCUCCGGCUGAGCUGUCCGUCUCUAAGCGUUGUGGAUUUUUCAAUUCGCUUCGGAGUGCGGGUGGCCGCGGCCGUUAAAUCUUUAUUCAAAGGUUGACCUCGGAUCAGGUAGGGAUACCCGCUGAACUUAAGCAUAUCAAUAAGCGGAGGAAAAGAAACCAACAGGGAUUGCCCUAGUAACGGCGAGUGAAGCGGCAACAGCUCAAAUUUGAAAUCUGGCGUAAGCCCGAGUUGUAAUUUGUAGAGGAUGCUUCGGGGUAGCGGCCGGUCUAAGUUCCUUGGAACAGGACGUCAUAGAGGGUGAGAAUCCCGUACGUGACUGGCUUGCACCCUCCACGUAGCUCCUUCGACGAGUCGAGUUGUUUGGGAAUGCAGCUCUAAAUGGGAGGUAAAUUUCUUCUAAAGCUAAAUACCGGCUAGAUACCGAUGCG
Molecule: ribosomal RNA, 677 nt
Filed under: Pseudocercospora fijiensis
Lineage: Eukaryota; Fungi; Ascomycota; Dothideomycetes; Mycosphaerellales; Mycosphaerellaceae
Description: eukaryotic LSU rRNA
Rfam family: Eukaryotic large subunit ribosomal RNA (bases 341-677)
Source: RNAcentral